AGGUAUCUGUUGAUUCAGAUUCAAAAGGGAACACGGGUGAGAAUCCCGGACAGUCCCGCUGCUGUAUUUCUCAGAUAUCGGUUCAGGAUGAGCAGCCGCUCUCUUGGUUGCAACAAACGCCACUGGCCGUAGGGCCGGGAAGGUUCCUGAAACGGGAGAUAAGUCAGAAGACCUGCCCUGAAUCU
Molecule: non-coding RNA, 185 nt
Filed under: bovine gut metagenome
Source: RNAcentral